Mus musculus (house mouse) is the source of this 2279-nucleotide long non-coding RNA. RefSeq annotates it as RIKEN cDNA C030029H02 gene. NCBI's taxonomy places the organism in Eukaryota, Metazoa, Chordata, Mammalia, Rodentia, Muridae. The transcript is spliced from 4 exons. The record is from RefSeq and is marked validated.
AGAUCCUCACUGCCUGGAUUUCUUGCCAUUGGAAGGGGUGCCUCUCCCUGAAGGUGGAUCUCUGAAGGAGGCAGGCCAGGCCUUCCAGCAAAGCUUUCUUUGCCUGGUGUGGUUGUCUAUCUCUCCAGGGGACAGCAAGUGACCGGCACAGAGGCUCUGCUGUGUGCCUGCAGAACGCAGGGACUGCCUUCCCAGCUGCCUCUGCGCAGCCAGAACCUUCCACUGAGAAGCCAGGCGCUUCUACAUGGUAGAGCUGAGCCAAGAACUUCAGACGUAACCAACGCACAGGACAAGCUCUGGGGACCGUGUCUCCUGAACGCACACGACACAAGCUGAGGGGAGCCACUCCUUAGAAACAAUUAAACAGGAAUAUUACAGGAUUCAGUAUCCCUCUUUGGGAACUGGUGGACCCGUCACCCCCAAAUGAAAUCAGCACUUCUCAAAGUGUCCUGUAUUUAUGGUAGCACUAGCCACAGUAGCCAGGAUACAAAAAAAAAAAAAAAAAAAAAGAAAAAAGAAAAAAGAAAAAAGAAAGAAAGAAAGAAAGACUUGUGAAUGGCUAAAGUUUGAUACACACCUCUAGAGAGAGGGGGAGAGAGAGAGCCUUAAAAAUUAAAAAUGAAUUUUAAGGAAUUAUAUCACAUUCUAAACAUGUGUAACAAACAAACAAAAAGGAGGAUGUUUCUUUGACCUUGUGGUUGUUUUAUAGGCUCCUCAUCAGAACACCUUAUAUCCUUAGCUGAGGUUCCUAUGUUCCCCAGAAACCAUAAGCCCCCUUAACUUUGCUCUGAUUUUUCUGACUGCUUUCUACACUUACUGAUAGUAGCACAACACCUUAGAAACCUGGAUCUUGAUGACAUCUGCACACAGCUUAAAGAGAAUAUUGGCUUCAACAUGCCACAAUUUAGACAUAUUUGGGGCUGGCCAUCUAGAAAUGGACUUUGGACUUGAAAUUCCCAGAACCCUCAGCAACACAGCGUCCCUCCACUCUGAUCCACAUGCUGUGGUCCAGGCGUAAGGUAGUGUGUCUGAGAGAACACUGUGAGGGACUCGGUCAGCUCACUGGACUCGGCUUCUCAUACUGUCUAAAUGUGAGCUCGGUGCUGGGUCUGUGUCCUGAUGACGCCACAGCCACUUCCUGUUGUGCAAAAACCAAGCUAUCAAGUUUGAACUGCUUUGAACUGCCAUCUUGAAUAUAGAGAAAUGGAGCACAGACGCUGGCCUGGUGCCCCCUUCUCCCAGUGUGAAGAAAUGGACGUCUGACUAGCAAGUUCCCUCUCAAAUUUUCAAGACUCCCAUAGUAAGAAAAGAAGAAAGCCAGAUGGUUCCAGUUUUGUUUGUGGAAGCAACCACAGAGGACUCACACUGAGCCCAGCUGCCUCUUCACCCUUGCAGGUUUCUGUGGGUUGUACCUGUUCCUCUUGGUUCUCCAUUGUUCCUUGUCCAUCAGUGGGUAGACAAACGUCAAUUAUUUCUGGUGAAGCAAUGGAUCAUACUAACCAUGGACUGAAACUCCAGACGCCAUGACUUCAGACUCCGGCUACCUUGGAGACAGCUGUGUGAGCACUGAAAGUGGUGAUAACUAUAAUUGACUGUGGAAAUAAUGAUGAUCCAUAAAUCUACAUUGGAACUCUGUGUGCAUGUGAGAGAGACAGGAACACACACACACACACACACACACACACACACACACACACAAAUCCUUCUUUCUCUACUUUUCUUCUACAGUAAUUUUUUUAUAAUAAUAAGUGACCAACAUACUAGGUCCUUAGUGAAAAUAGUAUUCUAAGAUAAUAGUUUCUCACUACCUUAGAGAUUAACAAACUGGAGGUGUUAUCGUAAGAUUUAUCUCAAACUAAGAGCAAAGAGAUAGAUAACUUGAUGUAAAAAGUGAAUGGUUAAUUCACAUAUAAGAAACACGGGUAGCAAUGAAACAUUACAUGGAUGUUGGUAAAGGAAGUGGGAUGUAUAAACCUUACAUAAUCCCAGCAUGGAUGAGGGCAUGGCACCCCUCCAAGGAACAAUGCAAGUGACAGCUUCUGAGAGAGGGAGAUACAGUGUUCUUCAUGAGUGUGGCCCCUGCUAGGCUGACUACGCUCCAGUGGAAAGCCACAUACCAAGGUAUAUGACCAGGCAUAAAUGGACGUAAUGAAUUUACAAAACCAAGGACAUAAAGUUGGACAGAGAAGGAAUGAGGCAUAGAUCUGGGAGAAAUUGCUGGAGGGCAAUGGAUAUGAUCUAAAAAAUAAAAUAAAAUAAAAUAAAAUAAAAUAAACGCU